RNAcentral lists this small RNA (547 nucleotides) under Pongo abelii (Sumatran orangutan). RNAcentral's name for it is "retained intron". The record is from RNAcentral. Lineage: Eukaryota; Metazoa; Chordata; Mammalia; Primates; Hominidae.
UGUCCUUCCAUUGUACUGGUGAGGAUCCCCCUGUUCCCCACUUCCUUCCUGCAUCAGCACCCAUCCUGCAGCAGAGGAUGGAGGAAACCCGCACCUAUGCCUGCAGGGGAGAAGUGGACGGGCUCAGGCCAGGGUGUAUCCAGCCCUAUAACCUGGUCCUCUCUACCCUAGAAUCCAUGGAGGCCUCAGCUCUCCCGCCAGCAGUGGGGGACUCCGGCAGAUACCCCCUCUACCAGCUGCUGAACUGUGGCUGUGGGAAUAGCUGUGGGGCCAUCCACCCAGACAUUGCCCACAUGGAGCAGCUCCUGCAGCAGGCCAUGGCGGAGAGGGAGCGGCUGCUCAAGGCCCGGGAAGGAACAAGAAGGGGCAUGGAAGGUUCCUCAGGCCCUGCUGUUCCUGCCAUCACGGCCCCGCCCACCCCACCCCACCCUCCAGGCCGGCGAAUCUUGGAUCUCCGGCAGCAUCUGGAGGGAUGGGGCCACAACCCAGAAAACUGCCCACAUGUGCAGGUGUCUGGGGGCUGCUGCCGCGGACCCCUGGUGAAGAU